UACGUAGGUGGCGAGCGUUGUCCGGAUUUACUGGGCGUAAAGCGCGCGCAGGCGGACUGAUCAGUCUGGGGUGAAAUCUCACGGCUCAACUGUGAGCGGUCCCUGGAUACUGUCAGCCUUGAGAUGUCUAGAGGAGAGCGGAAUUCCCGGUGUAGUGGUGGAAUGCGCAGAUAUCGGGAGGAACACCAAUGGCGAAGGCAGCUCGCUGGGACGGUACUGACGCUGAGACGCGAAGGCGUGGGGAGCAAACAGG
RNAcentral lists this ribosomal RNA (253 nucleotides) under uncultured bacterium. RNAcentral's name for it is "partial 16S ribosomal RNA". It matches the Rfam family "Bacterial small subunit ribosomal RNA", at positions 524 to 776 of the family's 1533-position model. The record is from RNAcentral.